Molecule: long non-coding RNA, 311 nt
Organism: Pantherophis guttatus
Lineage: Eukaryota; Metazoa; Chordata; Lepidosauria; Squamata; Colubridae
Source: RefSeq, a predicted model, not a curated record
AAGGAGUUGAUGCUCCCAAGAGCUCAUACGGGAAGGUGAAGAAUUGGGGGGAAGUGGAUGGAGGGAUUCCCCCCUCCCCAUGGAGCUGCGUGCAGGGGGUAUUGACUAUCUUUGAGCUUGUUUGUAUGCAUUACCAUGAAGCACAGCUUUGCAGAGACCACCUGUGGAGGAAUGAUGAACUCUGCAGAUAAUGCUUAAUCUCAAAUGCCGUUUUAACCCAAUUGAAGCAUGCACGGAAUUUUGAACAUCUUAUUUCUGCUAAGAGUAUUCUUUGUGCUGCUAUAUUAAAAGCAUUUGUAGCUUCAAACAAA